GGCGGCGUAGCUCAGUCGGUAGAGCAGACGGCUCAUAUCCGUUAUGUCGGGGGUUCAAUUCCCUCCGCCGCUA
Molecule: transfer RNA, 73 nt
Filed under: Acidobacteriota bacterium
Lineage: Bacteria; Pseudomonadati; Acidobacteriota
Also listed under: 4 other names
Description: Acidobacteria bacterium tRNA-Met
Rfam family: tRNA
About the family: Transfer RNA (tRNA) molecules are approximately 80 nucleotides in length.
Source: RNAcentral